RNAcentral lists this ribosomal RNA (474 nucleotides) under uncultured bacterium. RNAcentral describes it as "bacterial SSU rRNA". It matches the Rfam family "Bacterial small subunit ribosomal RNA", at positions 328 to 793 of the family's 1533-position model. The record is from RNAcentral.
CGCUAUCACUCCUACGGGGAGGCAGCAGUAGGGAAUCUUCCACAAUGGGCGCAAGCCUGAUGGAGCAACACCGCGUGAGUGAAGAAAGGGUUUCGGCUCGUAAAGCUCUGUUGUUAAAGAAGAACACGUAUGAGAGUAACUGUUCAUACGUUGACGGUAUUUAACCAGAAAGUCACGGCUAACUACGUGCCAGCAGCCGCGGUAAUACGUAGGUGGCAAGCGUUAUCCGGAUUUAUUGGGCGUAAAGAGAGUGCAGGCGGUUUCUAAGUCUGAUGUGAAAGCCUUCGGCUUAACCGGAGAAGUGCAUCGGAAACUGGAUAACUUGAGUGCAGAAGAGGGUAGUGGAACUCCAUGUGUAGCGGUGGAAUGCGUAGAUAUAUGGAAGAACACCAGUGGCGAAGGCGGCUACCUGGUCUACAACUGACGCUGAGACUCGAAAGCAUGGGUAGCGAACAGGAUUAGAUACCCUGGUAG